GAUGAACGCUGGCGGCGUGCCUAAUACAUGCGAGUCGAGCGAACAGACGAGGAGCUUGCUCCUCUGACGUUAGCGGCGGACGGGUGAGUAACACGUGGAUAACCUACCUAUAAGACUGGGAUAACUUCGGGAAACCGGAGCUAAUACCGGAUAAUAUAUUGAACCGCAUGGUUCAAUAGUGAAAGACGGUUUUGCUGUCACUUAUAGAUGGAUCCGCGCCGCAUUAGCUAGUUGGUAAGGUAACGGCUUACCAAGGCGACGAUGCGUAGCCGAUCUGAGAGGGUGAUCGGCCACACUGGAACUGAGACACGGUCCAGACUCCUACGGGAGGCAGCAGUAGGGAAUCUUCCGCAAUGGGCGAAAGCCUGACGGAGCAACGCCGCGUGAGUGAUGAAGGUCUUCGGAUCGUAAAACUCUUUUAUUAGGGAAGAACAAAUGUGUAAGUAACUAUGCACGUCUUGACGGUACCUAAUCAGAAAGCCACGGCUAACUACGUG
This 497-nucleotide ribosomal RNA is filed under the name uncultured bacterium. RNAcentral's name for it is "partial 16S ribosomal RNA". It matches the Rfam family "Bacterial small subunit ribosomal RNA", at positions 28 to 507 of the family's 1533-position model. The record is from RNAcentral.